Molecule: long non-coding RNA, 969 nt
Organism: Lolium perenne
Lineage: Eukaryota; Viridiplantae; Streptophyta; Magnoliopsida; Poales; Poaceae
Source: RefSeq, a predicted model, not a curated record
GCAUAUCACGAUGCAGGCGGAGGCGGAUAUCCGCUCGUCCGCUUCGUCCGCGCCGCUAAAAAGGCCCAAACGGCCUAGCGGCUAGGCCACAUAAGCCAAGCGGCUUCACUGACUGUAUCUAUUUGGCCCGUCAGGCCGUCCAUCCCGCUAAGAAAAAAAAGGCUAUCGCUCGUAGCAAAGGAAACAGAGUAGAUAGGGCCGCCGCCACGCUGGUCGCCGCCGUCGGGCCGGCGCCUUGCUCGUCUCUCUCGUCUCUGCCCAGCACGUGAACGUCUGCACCUAGCUCGCCGCCUCCCUGCACCCCGCUCGUAUCCGCCCAACACCUUUCCUUCUGCGACCCCGGCUCCCUUGCCGUCACUGCCUCUGGAGAGAUGGGCGCGGAGGUGGGAGAGGGCAAGAAUCCGGUGGAGGAGGGAACGAAUCUAGCAGACAAGGAGGUGCACAAGAAUCCUUCAGAGCAAGAGGCCAGGGAUCCGGCGGGACAGGUGCAUCUGAAAAGUCUUAGUGAAGAUGCUUCAAGUCUCUUCUUGAGCUACAUGAUAAAUCAUGUCCUCUUUCUAUUCAGUUAACCUCGAUCAACUAUAUGUUAGAUUAGUGUUGCCAACAAAAGACAGAAAGAUAGAGACAGAAGUGGUACAGUCCGUGUCGAUCUUGGUAUAUCUUUGCUGCCGAGUGCCACCACUACUUGCUAUUAGUUCAAUGUUGCUGACUGUUUCAGUUUCUUGUAUCCUUGAGUUUCUGAAACCGAUAUUUUUUUAUUCCGAGGAACAACUUAUCCUCUCUGUAGAAAGCUCCAAGCCUGUAAUUUAACCUCCCCGUUAUUUCAUAUAUAGAUUCUUCAUAUAUAGAUUCGAAAGAGAGGCCCUGCUCUUUUUGUUAUUGGUGCACAGCCUUGUGCAAAUCUUCAGCUCGUGAAUCUGUUCAGUUCAGUUAUGUAGGCAUGCAGUUAAUAUAAACUGAAUUUUUCUA